CCCUUAGAUGUUCUGGGCCGCACGCGUGCUACACUGAGUAAAUCAAUGGGUAAGGGAACACGAAAGUGCAACCUAAUCUUGAAAUUUGCUCGUGAUGGGGAUUGACGGUUGCAAUUUUCCGUCGUGAACGAGGAAUACCUUGUAGGCGCGUGUCAUCAUCACGCGCCGAAUACGUCCCUGCCCUUUGUACACACCGCCCGUCGCUCCUACCGAUUGAGUGAUCCGGUGAGGCUCUGGGACCUGGACGGAAAGAGCGUUUCGCUUGUUCUGUUUGGGAAACUUGGUCGAACCUUAUCAUUUAGAGGAAGGAGAAGUCGUAACA
RNAcentral lists this ribosomal RNA (322 nucleotides) under uncultured eukaryote. RNAcentral describes it as "partial 18S ribosomal RNA". It matches the Rfam family "Eukaryotic small subunit ribosomal RNA", at positions 1470 to 1796 of the family's 1831-position model. The record is from RNAcentral.